AGUAAUGUCUGGGAAACUGCCUGAUGGAGGGGGGUAACUGCUGGAUACGGUAGCUAAUACCGCAUAACGUCGCAAGACCAAAGAGGGGGACCUUCGGGCCUCUUGCCAUCGGAUGUGCCCAGAUGGGAUUAGCUAGUAGGUGGGGUAACGGCUCACCUAGGCGACGAUCCCUAGCUGGUCUGAGAGGAUGGCCAGCCACACUGGAACUGAGACACGGUCCAG
This 222-nucleotide ribosomal RNA is filed under the name uncultured bacterium. RNAcentral's name for it is "partial 16S ribosomal RNA". It matches the Rfam family "Bacterial small subunit ribosomal RNA", at positions 109 to 334 of the family's 1533-position model. The record is from RNAcentral.